GAACUGGGACCAGCGGUAGGGGUAGGGCCCGGGCCCGGGUCCGGGUCCGUAGAUGGGGUUUGGGAACGGUACCGGGAUCGGUAGCGGGACUGGGAGUGGGGACGGGGCCCGGGGACCUGGACUUGGACUUGGACCCCGACCGGGACCGGAACCGGGACCGCGUCGGGGGACAGAGGACCGGCGGAACGGGGACCGGCGCCGAGAUCGACAGCGGCACCGGCACCGGCACUGGGACCUGGCGGUUCCUCACGGCCGGGCCGGACUACCAGGGGAGCGCUGCGGGGAGUGGGAUGUCGAGGGUGGAAUGUCAGGUGUGGGCUGCCCGCCACACCUCCCACCGGUGCCGGUGAUACUGCCGUUAAUCACGGCUCUUUUAGCGGACAGGUGCCGGUGGGGCGGUGAGGCUGUCACAGCGGAACACGACAGGCCCGGGGGGUGAGGAGAGGGUGGGCAAGGCUGGUAUCCGUGGGCAACUGGGAGCGCUGGGGGAGAUGCUCUGGCUCCCAGGAGCACACCAUCGAGUUAUCCUCUCACUGCUGCCAGCCCUCCAGCUUCCACCUUAUUUCUCUCUAGAAAUAUGUUCUUUAAGCAUGUAAUAUCAGGAAGAAAUUCUUCCCUGUGAGGGUGGUGAGGUUCUGGCACAGGUUGUCCAGAGAAGCUGUGGCUGCCCCAUCCCUGGAGGUGUUCGAGGCCAGGUUGGAUGGGGCUCGGGGCAACCCAGGAUAGUGGAAGGUGUCCCUGCCCAUGGCAGAGGGUUGGAAUGAAAUGAGCUUUAAGGUCUCUUUCAACUGAAACCAUUCUAGGAUUCUAUGAUAAUGUAACAAGGAGAGAUGGAAAUCCACACAAAAUGAAGCAAGGGACAAUCAAGAAAAAAAAUAUUCUAGUGCCCAAAGCAGAGAGUAAGUUAUAUAUAUUCCUUUAACACGCUGGAUGAACUCCUGUAGUGCACAAAAGUCAGUAGUUCUGGAUCUGGAUCUCCUGGUACUCUCCCAAGUAAAAUUUAUCACCUUGUUGUAACAACGUCUUUUCUAUAUUCAGAGAAGAAGAGGAAGGAGGAAACAGAUAAAAGAUUUGUCAAGAUCAGUGUUGGUAUCUGCAUGUACACAUUUGUCUUUGAAGGCAUGUAUUUUCAGGCAAACUAUUUUGUGUUAACAGUGGCUGACAUUACUGAAGGCACGGGGGUUAGGAAUCUAGAAACCACUGUCUGAAGUCUCAGAUACAAAUAACAUUUAUGAUAAAGGAAACUUUCAAGUAUAGGGCACACCAACAGUAUUUAGGUCUCUAACAUGAACUUUCAGGGCUCAGCGUUGGACUCUGCUCCAGAGUUUGUCUGUAGACUGGUAGAUCAGUCUGUUGGACAGGCAAGGUUUUGGAUUAAUUUUUAGAUUGCAGUGAUCUCAUAUUCCUUAUAUGACCCAAAAGGUAAUCACAGCUCCUUCAUCUUGCUUAUUCAUCUCUCUGAUUCUUUUUCUCUAGGCUGACAUUUCUCUAGGCUGACAUCAGUGGAAUGGAGGUAAUGUGCAUAUGACUCUGAUCUUCAGCUUCUGUAUCUAAGGAAGGUCUUUCAUUCAGGCUGAUCUCCAGUUAUAAAAGAAAUUGUUAUGGCUCAGUCUUGGCAGGCUUCAGAAAAACUCCAACACUUCAAAUGCAUUCAGUUAAUAUGCAGAAUAUUGACUCACUGCUUACUCAUAUGACUAGCAUUUAAAAGACACUUUCUCAUUUUUAAAGGAUAUUAUAAAUGAUGGCUUAAUCCUCACAGCCUGGUGAAGUCAGUUGGCAUAAUUUUCCCUUACUAAUGGAAGAAAUGUGUAGGAAAAAGUAAGAUAUUUAUGAGAUGUCAUUAUUGCUUUUAGAUUUAUUUCAAGGAAGUGCCCCUGUAAUUUGUGCUGAGGUAACUAUUGAAAACUCCCAAAAGUGAUGGAGGAACUGACUGUAAUCCCAGGUGACCGAGGAAAAAGAGACUGCUUUAACAUUAAGUUACCUAUACUCUGUAGUCCACUUGUUCUGAAUGAUGUUUAAAGGGAGUUUGAAUUUACCAAUAUAUAGGAAUAACACUUGGGCACAGCAGCUCAGCAUUACUGAUGAUGAGGGGUACUGAUCCUCAAGUUAGAUUUUACAGACUUCACUGACAACAUCUCUCUUGGGACUGCUUAAAGGAAAAGAUCACACAUUCCAGCCUAGUGAAGGAAUGGGUGCAUCCUUUUCUAGAUGUUAUUCAGCAUGGAUGUCCCAGUUUGCAAAUGUUUUUUAUGCAUUGUCAGUUCGAGAAAAGUUGCAGAUGGAAGCACAGCAAACUUGUCUAGCUGAGAACAAGGAAAGCAGAAAGUGAGUCUUUCCCUUUGGGGCACCAGGAGAUGCAAGGAGACAAGGACAGUAAGGAAAUUGAAGAAGGGAACAGAUCUCCUCAAGAUCAGCCUUUUGAUAAGUUGGAGUUUGUACCUGUGGAGUUGUCAGUUUGAUAUGACACACAUUUACUAGUUAUUUGAUUGUAUUACUUCGUGGAAGUAAUACAUGACUGCAUCAUAUAUGUGUCCUGAAACAUGUCCAGAUUCGAGGAACCCCCGUGUUACAGAAAGCAGAUAUUUUUGAACAGAAAAAAAUGUUAUAGUAAGUGGUCAUGCUGUGACAAUGAACCUGGCUUUUUGCUUGACCAUGCUGUGGCCAUGUAGCCUAAAAAUGGAGUUUGAUGGACAAUUGCAAUGAUUUCUGCAGAUGUAGUACUCUAGGAGUGUUUGAAUAAUUUGUCUUUAACUGAAAAUGCUUUUAUGCUUUUCUUCAUAAGCUUGUGUCGAAGCCAGUCCUGUGUUUACAGCUCUCUCAUUAUUUAAACAGCGAAUGCAGUGUGUCCCCUCAAAGGGAAACAGCUGUAUUGUUCUGGUGGAACAUACACAUGGCCAAACUAAGAGGUGACUCCCUGGCUUGUUGAACUUGGAGGUUUCCCUUUUUAUUUACAUUUGUUGCAGAAUUCCAGCCAUAAUCUCAGAUGUAAUUGGAAAACAUCCUUUGCCACCCUGAUUUUGUUUCCUUCUUUGUUGUACUGUCCUAGCCAUGAUGGUUACAUGUAUACUCAGAGGCUAUGGUAGAAGAGAAUUUAAAGUUCAUUGUGUUGCCCCCAAAUCUUUGAUUUCAUAUAUAUGUUUUAUUCAGGAUUAAAGGGUAUCUUUCUCAUAUUUUGUUAGAAGUACCAUAGGAAUAUAUUACUGAGAGAAGCUUACUAUGAGCUAAAACUUACUGUUUAUAAAUAAUGACAAAAUAUGGAAAAUUAGGAAAAAAAUUAAUGACAGGGCUCCACCACCCUAUAGUACAUAAGCACAGAAGGAGUUGUAUGAAAACUGGGGUUACAGUAUCUAGAAAAAAUUCCUUUGCGGUUGUUACAUGAAUGAAGAGUGCGUGUGAGCCUGUAUGAAUCCCAGCUCCUUCAUUUAGAAGGGAAGAAUGCUCUUUUUUUCUGAUUGAUGUCAGUGGUUUGGGAUUAGGCACCUAAUAUAGUUGGAUCUCAUGAUUAUAAGAAGAGCUUCUGUCCUAUCUGCCAGACGAACAGAAACACUCUCCACAGGCUGCAGGGUAAAUGCUUUUUUUUAUAGGCUUGAAUUUGACUAACAGAAGAGUCGGCAAAGCAAUUGGUGGUGUCUUGCAGGAAAUCUCAUCACCCGAUGGAGACAAGAAGGUGACUUCCUGGGGAGAAGUAUCUUGUCCCUGUACCCCUAGACAUACUAAACAUUGACAAGAGGAACGUGUUUACAAAGGUUUCCCUAAUCUUAUGUUUUGGAUGGACAAGGCACUUGCUGCUUAGUAUAGCUGGCUAUUGGGGCAGAGAAUCUCUUCACUAUCUGAGGAAAGAAUAUCUGAGAUAUUUUGGAACCCAGCUUUUGUACAGUAUUGCAAAGAAUUAAUUUAGGUUUUCUGGAAUGACUUUGUCUUUCCUUCCUUCCUUCCUUGCAUCCCAUGUCCCACCCAGUCUCAUCCAGUUUCCUGCUUCUGGUUUAUUUAUAGCCAAACGUAAUAGGUGGGUUUUAAAGAAGUGCCUCGGGGACCAGAUAGCACAAAUCCCUCUGAAUUAUUGAAAAGCACAUUUUUUAUAUGUAUAUAUUGAUGUUUGGUUGGUUUUAGCAGAGGGGGUUAAAAACAUUUGUAUCGUGAAAAACUAUGUAACCCCCCUGCAAAGUACAGUUGCAAUGACAGCUAACAAAGUAGAUGCACAGAUGCUUUUGACUGCUUGGGUAGCUGUGCAGCCUCACACAAAACAAAGAUUUUAGCAAACACAGUCUUGUGAGUCUGUUCACAAGCACCAGCUGACAUAUUCCUGCAAUAUACUUUUAGACUUCAUUUAUAGUAGGAAUUUUUGCUGCCUUCACAGCUUUUGGCUAGCACGAAAGGAGAUUUGUGCUGGGGCAACCGCCAAGGCCAAGCCUGCUGUCAGCAGUGAUUUGCAAAGAGGCAGUUUACCCUGUUUUCCAGCUGGGAGUCGUGCACUCUAGUAAUCAUAAUUACAAUAUUUAGCUCUAAUACAGUGCUUUUAAGAUGGGUAUCUUAAAACAUUAUGAGGGACAGAGGGAUAUCAUUAGCUCCUCAACAUGUAUUAUUUUUUGCAACUGCUACAAACUAUCAUGGGACUGAAGAAGAAGGGAAGAAGGUGAACAGAUCUUGUGGUGUUGCUGUGUCUCCUCCAGCCAGUCUGUCCCUGUUGUUAUUCCAGCAUUCAAAGGGAACAGGAGCUGAACCAUGACCAUUUUCCUGCAGCAGAAGCUGAGUACCCGCUGGCCUCCUGAAUACAAAAAUGAAGUUUCAUACUGUUUCCUUUGAAUGGAAGCAGCAUGACGUGAGUGUGGAAAGAGUGGAACAGUAUGUUAAGGGAAACACAACUGAAAGGAGAGAACAGCUGACUCCAAGGGCUGAGCAGAUCUGCCCCCUCUGCUUCACUGUGUAGGUUUGUUUUCAGCUCUUCAACUCAGACCAUCUCGUGGGUCUCACAAAACAUCUCCACAGCUCUGGGCUAGAAAAUGAAACAAUUGCAAGGAGAUUGUUCAUUCUUCCUGAAACAAGCUACACAAGCUGUGGGAAAUGACAGCUAAGGCUGAACUUUAAAACAACCUGAAAGCACUUAAAAACAGAAAUGCAGAGUGAAGCCAUUCAAUAGAGUCAGAUUUGGAAGAGAGCCCUGAAAAAACCUGCAGUUAUGACUAAUCCAUUUUUAACGUGUGUGGUUGUAGGUAAAAUCACUUCUUCAAAAGAUCAUUUCUCUCCCUGUUAUGGUUACAGUUCUUUACUGUCCUUUUAGAUAAAUGACGUGUUGACAUGUGAGUUCAGUUACAGAUGAACUGCGAGGACUGAAUUAUUUCUGAUGCUGGAGAGGCUCUGGCUGAGCUGCUUGUGAAGGGGAGGAAAGAUACAAACAGGAUAUUCAGUGUCAAGCUGCAGCAGCACCCUGAGGGACCCACCCAGAGGCAAACGCUUGAAUGCUCACUCUCUCCUUCAGCCAAGUUAGCUGAGGAAACCUGACAUAAUUGUAGACUGUAGAGCUCCAGUUCUGCAGGGACAAACUCAUGCAGUGACAUUUUAGAAAUGAAAUAAUCUGAAAUGGAAACUUCUUGUUGCACUGAACAAGUCUGUGAGACACCACAUGGUUUUACAGGAUAGCCUUUGGGUGCAUUUAUUUUGUUCUCAAAUUGUGCCAGCCUUGCUUGCUGGUCCCUUUGCAGGGAUCUCUCACUUCUGUGCUACAGAGGCAUUGAUGUUAACACUCUGCUACAGGGAGACGUGGUGUGACACUGUGAGUUCCACAGCUGGCGUUAUGGCAACCCAACAUUCACAGACUUUGCAGUCUCAUAAUCAGUAGAGCUGUGACUAGGAGUGUGAAUUCAGUGCAAACAAGCAAGAGGCUGUGGAGGGGAGCAACGUGGAGGUUGUUUAGGCAGGUAGAAGACAGUACAGUGAAUCCAACACUGGUGAGAUAUGCUCAACUUAAAGACUAUCUCAGCCUAACUAAGGGCAGUGUUGACAGAGCUUGUAGUAACACGCAGUAUUGUGAGAGUGAAGGCUGUUCUCUGUGCUGUGUGAGUGUAUCUGAUAUCCAGAAACAAAAGCAGUUGGCAUUUCCCUGGUGUAUGCUGAGAUGUGGUGCAAUGUGAUAGAGCAACAGGGAACUCCUUGCUGGCUUUUUGCCCUAUGCAGAUUCCUUUUGAAUUAGGUUGACCUUUAAAGCAAGACCUGCUUCUUCUGCUUCUUAUUGUCUAAGUUCUGCAUUGGAGCCUGAGAAACAAGUCUGUGAAUCUUGGAGGAUUUUUUUAAAGCUCUAAUUAGUGAAACAAAAUAGGUUGGAAGGAGUCUGAGGAGAGAAUCGCCAAAUGGAAACUAUUUUACAGAGCUGUUGCCUUUUAUUUUUUGUUUUACUCCAUUCCACAGCAACACUGGCCUGAGUGGUGCUAGGCUUAAAUCAGCACAAAAUAUGGUUUGUGUCAAAGAAGACUGGUCCACAACCCUCUCCUGUUGUUAAAAGGCACCUCUGCCUCGUGGUCAAAACAGCACCUUGUUUGCCCUCAGCAAUUUGGAAACCCAAAGCUGUGUUCCUGCUGCCAGGGUUUUGUACUAGAGCACUGCAACUGCUUGGCACCAGCAGCCCCAUGCAGGAGUUUAGAGAUUCUGGCAUUUCGUGCAGAUUAUUAAGUGCUGAUCGAAGGGCAGCUGAAACUGGAACUCAGCUCUGGGUGGGAGGCAGCAGCUCCUGGGCCAGUGAGAGGCCUCAUUGUGGUGCUUCGGGACCUGCAGGUGGGACUGCAGGAGGGGUGCAAGCAUAUGAAUAUUUUUGGUUUAAACACAAGGCUUAAUUUUUCAGAAAUAUGAAGAGGUUCUUCAAGGUUGUGAGAGCCUAAAGCCUUGGAUUUCUCCUGCCUCAUCUGCCUGCUGGCACGAACAGCCCUGUUGUCCCAUUUAGAGUGCGUUUGAUCUCUCAGUGACUCAUUUCCAAGGCUCGCUAUCUGCACCAGCAAGGUGCUUCAGGGUUGAGACGCACCCAUGUAUCAGCUCUGUUACUGUACCCUGUUAUCAGCUACUCCUUUCACUCCUGGGGUGCUCCCGGCCUUUGAUCUGUUCCUGAGCUGCAGCAACAGCUUUCCUUGUUUUUUAAUGCUUCAUUACACUGUACAGGGCCAUCAUCGCUCCCCAAAUGCUGCAAUCUCUGCUACCUAUGUGCUGCACUCAUAAGUACAUCCAGGCUUUUUCUUGAAAGCAUGAAAUAAACUCUCAUUCCCCUCAAUCCUCAAAUAAUCAUAAUGGAAAUCAGUUUACUGCGAGAUGGCAAUUUCCAUCAGACACUAUAUGGAGGUAUAAUGAUAUGGUUAAUUAUUCCCUUCCUUCUCCCUGUUGCAUUUAGCUGCUGCUUUUAAAAAUCUGUGGAGCGGGGGCUGUUUACUCCAUCCGUAUAGCAGCUGGUGCUGUGGGCUCUGACUGUUCUGUAAAUCCUGAUGUUAUUGAGCAGUUCUGAAUCCUGUCCCCCAGCAGAAGUCCUUUUUUUGCUGGCCAGGAUAGAUCUUGUUUAAUUUGAGGCUAAUUCUGUCAAAGUUAGAGACCCCAGUGGAAAGAAAGGUGCUCUGUGUGCAGGAAGACUGAAAGAGCUUUCUGUGUUCUACAGGGUUUUUUUUUACAGUGGCAAGUGGGCAAAAGCAAAGACACACAAUAAUUUAAAAUGUAUUUGCUUAAAACCAGCUGAAUUCAUAGUAAUGUUGGAAGAAACCAGCAGCAGCAUCUGAGCCGAUUCUGCUGGAGAUGGUGCUUAUCAGAUGACCCAGCAAAACCUCCCUGUAGGAAGGCUUGUAGGAUUUGGGUCAGAAGUUCCAGCAUAACAAGCACAUGUCUCUCACAGCUUUCAGAGCAGUCAGUUCCUGCUGAUGAGGUGCAGAGCAGUGAUCUAACUCGUUUUGUCCAUUCUCUCAGGGGUGGGUCUUGGCCAGGCUGUGUGGUGGAGGACAGACAGACGUGUUUGCUGCACUAAGUCUUGUAAUAGAGGGAAGGAGGGAAGGCUGUGGUUACCUACGUGUUUGUCUGCUCAUGGGGUCCAGCCAAAUGGCACAGCCCAUGUCUGCAACACUGGGAAUCCUGACCACAGUGUGUUGAUCCUAUGUGAUUUAAUAGUAACAAAUCACUUUCCUUACACUGGCCAGGUUGGGCUUGUUUUGUUUAUGCCUUGAAACCUCUCUUCUCCCCCCCACUAUGAUCUGUGCCAAACUGGCAAGUUAAAAACUCUGCCUGGUGUGUGGGCAGGAGAAGGGCCACAUCCUGGUGCAUAAAAUGUGUGAGAUGUGAUACAGGGUUGAGGGGAGGAUGAGGUGCGGACAAGAGGUGCCAGUCAUGUGCUCAGUUCAUGACUUGCCCAGCCUGUUUCACAGACUUGUAGUUACUGAUCCUUGACUAUGUUUCAGGCCUGGCCUACAGUCACUAAUUGUCAGUGUCCUGGGGCUUUUCCCAGGUUUUAAUUGUCCCUAUUAGUAUGAUGGAUAUUGGAAAUAAGGACGCACUGGAGAAAGGUAGUAGUGUUAUUACUGCGGCCGUUGUCAUUGCUGGGGCUGCCAUUAAAGCUGCUUACUGGCAUUUGCCCUCCUGUGAAAUGUGUAGGUGAGCUAUUUAUAAAUGAGCAGAGAGAUCCUACAUCUCUAGCUUGUGCUCAGAUUUAAGGGUUAAUCCCUACCAGGAGGUAAGAAUCUGUCCAGGACUGCAAAGCAGGUUAGUGGCAGUUGGAAAUAAUCCACUCCUUCUGAGCCUCAGUGUUGUCUGUAUUUCUGGGGGCUGGCAGGGGUGUGGAGAAGCAGCAUACUGUUUCCCCAUUAGCUCUCCCUGUUCCAGCAUAAGCUCCCUUCUUCAGGGCGGAGAGAGGCACUUUUCCUGCUGCACAGCCCCCUCUCCUGUCCUCUGCUUCCUCUACACAGCAGAUGCACUCAGAUCUCUCCUGGGCUUCGCUCAGCUUCAGUCUUCUCUUGCUUUUACUUUUCCUUUCUGGAGUGGAUUCAACCUGGUGUGCAGGAGGGAAUUGCCCUUUUCCUGGAGCAGUCCAGUCCCAGACACACAGUAAUUAGUCUCUGUACUUCUCAAAAAUUCUUCUGAAAGUAGAUACAGCCACUUGCUUUCAUUAUUCCUUUCCUGUGAGGUGUAAAUUGCCUCACCUUCUAAAACACGCAGGUUCCUGAACAACAAGAUUAAUAUAGUUGGAUUUCUAGUGCAAUUAUUAUCUUUUACUUUUCCACAUGUAGAUUUGCUGAUGACUAGCUUGACUCCCAGAUUUUAAAAAGUUGAGGAAAAUUACCUACCUUUGAGGCCUGCACCUCAAUCUCCAGGGCUGCACAAAAGGCUCAAGUAGGAUUAGGCAGACAUGGAUGCACCCCAGAUGGAUAGCAGGAGCCUAAUUGCUGUAAGAAACAAGGUUAAUGCGAUGUGGUUGUAGUGAAGAAAUGAGGCUUCUCUCCUUGAGAGCUCCUGGCUUGCUGGCUGGAUCUGUAGGACACUGCCCUCUCUUGGUCCUAGAUGGGCUCUGGGUCUGAGCUGAGGAACUUACCUUUCCUGAGUAUCCUGGUGGCCAAGGGAUUGCUACUGGAACCUGAUAUGUCCUGUGGUUUAUAAACUCAGGUAGAGCUAUAGACUUUGUAGGUGAUCCCAACAUUCCCUCCAGGAGCUUGUGACAGGAUUUAUAUGGAGCUUCAGCACUGCAUGAAUUCAAUUGUGAGAACAGUAACCUAUGAGUGAUUUUAUCAUUGUAUGCAGGAAAGUGAUGUAAGAAACCACAGAAAUCUGCUAGACUGAUUCUUGAACACGUGGUGAAAGACUAAUCUGUUUUUGCUUGUAAAUGGGGGUUUUAUGUAAAUGUUGACAAAUCAUAAUUAUGACAUAAACAUUUCAGGGAAUUCACACUUCCAGAUGCAAUGGAGUUGUGGGAGCAAUCUAGGAACAGAGACUUGUUUGAGAGAGACAUCUCUGACUUGAUCUCAGUGGUGCCCUUUGGGGGUUACACUCACUCAGAGCCUGUCCCUGAUGCUGCCUGAGUGAUUCAGUGUGAGGCUGAGCUCUGCACUUCUCUGUACAGGUUAUACAAACAAGUGGGAUGUAAUGGUUCCACAUUGUCCCAUUUCUGCUACAUGUUGUUAUUGUUGCUGCCCUUGUGUGGUUUAUGUUUAUGUACUGGCAGUGUUUGGCAUUGUGUUCAACCUUUUUCAUGUCCUGGAGAACCUCAUAAAUCUACUCUAUCUAC
Pseudopipra pipra is the source of this 10231-nucleotide long non-coding RNA. RefSeq lists it as uncharacterized. Lineage: Eukaryota; Metazoa; Chordata; Aves; Passeriformes; Pipridae. The record is from RefSeq and is a predicted model, not a curated record. The transcript has 2 exons.